CAGAGUUCAUGCCCGAAAGGGUAGACCUCCCACCCUUGUGUAUUAUUACUUUGUUGCUUUGGCGAGCCGCCUUCGGGCCUUGCGUGCUCGCCAGAGAAUAUCAAAACUCUUUUUAUUAUUGUCGUCUGAGUACUAUAUAAUAGUUA
Molecule: unclassified non-coding RNA, 146 nt
Filed under: uncultured Ascomycota
Lineage: Eukaryota; Fungi; Ascomycota
Description: sequence contains ITS1
Source: RNAcentral